RNAcentral lists this ribosomal RNA (1349 nucleotides) under metagenome. Its description in RNAcentral is "bacterial LSU rRNA". It matches the Rfam family "Bacterial large subunit ribosomal RNA", at positions 1564 to 2925 of the family's 2925-position model. The record is from RNAcentral.
UGAGUACGAGCUGCUACGGCAGCGAAGUGGGUGAUGUCAAGCUUCCAAGAAAAGCCCUAUACCCGUUAAGGCAUGACGGCCUGUACCCGAAACCGACACAGGUGGGGUGGUAGAGAAUACCGAGGGGCGCGAGAUAACUCUCUCUAAGGAACUCGGCAAAAUGGCCCCGUAACUUCGGGAGAAGGGGUGCCACCGCAAGGUGGUCGCAGUGAAGAGGCCCAGGCGACUGUUUGCCAAAAACACAGGUCUCCGCUAAGUCGCAAGACGAUGUAUGGGGGCUGACGCCUGCCCAGUGCCGGAAGGUUAAGGAAGCUGGUCAGCGCAAGCGAAGCUAGCGACUGAAGCCCCGGUGAACGGCGGCCGUAACUAUAACGGUCCUAAGGUAGCGAAAUUCCUUGUCGGGUAAGUUCCGACCCGCACGAAAGGCGUAACGAUCUGGGCGCUGUCUCGGAGAGAGGCUCGGCGAAAUAGAAUCGUCUGUGAAGAUGCGGACUACGUGCACCCGGACAGAAAGACCCUAUGAAGCUUUACUGUAGCUUGGUAUUGUGCCCGGGCUCUGAAUGCGCAGGAUAGGUGGGAGGCUUUGAUCCAUGGCUUGCGGGUCAAGGUGAGCCAACGGUGAGAUACCACUCUUUCAGAGCUAGGGUUCUAACAGCCACCCGUUAUCCGGGGGCUGGACAGUAUCAGGUGGGCAGUUUGACUGGGGCGGUCGCCUCCUAAAAGGUAACGGAGGCGCGCAAAGGUUUGCUCAGGCUGGUUGGAAAUCAGCCGACGAGUGCAAAAGCAGAAGCAAGCUUGACUGUGAGACCAACAAGUCGAACAGGGACGAAAGUCGGCUUUAGUGAUCCGACGGUUCUGAGUGGAAGGGCCGUCGCUCAACGGAUAAAAGUUACUCUAGGAUAACAGGCUGAUCUCCCCCAAGAGUUCACAUCGACGGGGAGGUUUGGCACCUCGAUGUCGGCUCAUCGCAACCUGGGGCUGAAGUCGGUCCCAAGGGUUGGGCUGUUCGCCCAUUAAAGCGGUACGCGAGCUGGGUUCAGAACGUCGUGAGACAGUUCGGUCCAUAUCCGGUGCAUGCGUAAGAACAUUGAGAGGAGUUCUCCCUAGUACGAGAGGACCGGGAGGAACGCACCUCUGGUGUACCAGUUAUCGUGCCAACGGUAAACGCUGGGUAGCCAUGUGCGGAGAGGAUAACCGCUGAAAGCAUCUAAGUGGGAAGCCCACCUCAAGAUGAGUGUUCUCAUGGCUUAAGCCAGUAAGGUCACGGGAAGAACACCCGUUGAUAGGCUCUACGUGGAAGCGCAGCAAUGUGUGAAGCGGAGGAGUACUAAUAGACCGAGGGCUUGACC